Non-coding RNA from Salvelinus sp. IW2-2015, 532 nucleotides. Lineage: Eukaryota; Metazoa; Chordata; Actinopteri; Salmoniformes; Salmonidae. The record is from RefSeq and is a predicted model, not a curated record.
GCUGUGUGUGCUGCUCGUGUCUGAUGUCAGCCGGGGGUCAUGAUUCAGACUGGAACAGACCCUGCAGGCCCAACCAAAGGCUUGGGUCACRGAUACGUCAUUAUCUCAAGCGGCCUUGAAAUCCGAGGACAGGGUCCAUGGCACCAAGUUAACGUUCUCCAGCUCUCAACCCUCUCUCUUCCUGGUUUGCCCGCACAUCUACGCUUCAAAAGGAACACUUCUGGGCUGGCGGGAUGACCGUGCUCAGUCAGCGUUUUACUGCGGUUAAGAACCGAGAAAGAGCUGGGCUGAGGGAAACCAAAGGGCUAUCACAGCUAGACCACCAGGCAGACUACCAGCACACAGACUGGGAUCUGUUCAACCCUUCGCUCCCAGACGGUGAUGGUGGCGCUCUAGGAGCCAGCCAACUGUUAAUGGAGUUUAUGAUCCCUGUGCCAAAGGAGGCACACAUACCUGGCCAUUAGGUUGAACGUUAGAGAGCAACCUUCCACUGUUUACAGUAGUUUACAUCAGAUGAGGUUCGAAGGAGAAG